RNAcentral lists this ribosomal RNA (497 nucleotides) under uncultured bacterium. RNAcentral's name for it is "partial 16S ribosomal RNA". It matches the Rfam family "Bacterial small subunit ribosomal RNA", at positions 28 to 507 of the family's 1533-position model. The record is from RNAcentral.
GAUGAACGCUGGCGGCGUGCCUAAUACAUGCAAGUCGAGCGAACAGACGAGGAGCUUGCUCCUCUGACGUUAGCGGCGGACGGGUGAGUAACACGUGGAUAACCUACCUAUAAGACUGGGAUAACUUCGGGAAACCGGAGCUAAUACCGGAUAAUAUAUUGAACCGCAUGGUUCAAUAGUGAAAGACGGUUUUGCUGUUACUUAUAGAUGGAUCCGCGCCGCAUUAGCUAGUUGGUAAGGUAACGGCUUACCAAGGCAACGAUGCGUAGCCGACCUGAGAGGGUGAUCGGCCACACGGGAACUGAGACACGGUCCAGACUCCUACGGGAGGCAGCAGUAGGGAAUCUUCCGCAAUGGGCGAAAGCCUGACGGAGCAACGCCGCGUGAGUGAUGAAGGUUUUCGGAUCGUAAAACUCUGUUAUUAGGGAAGAACAAAUGUGUAAGUAACUAUGCACGUCUUGACGGUACCUAAUCAGAAAGCCACGGCUAACUACGUG